UUUCCGUAGGUGAACCUGCGGAAGGAUCAUUAACAAAAAAAAAAAUUACCCACCUUUUUUAUCGAUGGACAAAAAGGAGAACCUAUUCUUUUUUUUUUUUCACCCGUUAAAAAAAGCUCCGUCUUAUUUUGAAUCCCUUAACCUCCUUUAAAAAAAAUUUUUAUUUUUUUAUUAAUAGAGUUUUUUUAAUAACCCUUCUAUCAUAUUUAAUAAUUAAAAUUUUAUUUUUUUUUUUUUUUUAAAAGGAAAAUAAUUUAAAAAAAAAAAAAAAAAAAAAAAUUACUGAAUUUAUUUGGCAUACAUGAAAAUGGAUCUUUGUUGUUUGUUUUCAUCAAUACGUUUAAAAAGCACACUUGUAUAUUCUAGUUCGUUACCGAUAAUUAAAAAAAAAUUUUAUGUUAUUUUAAUUGUUGCUAUUUAAGACCCCCUUUAUCUUAAUUUAUAGUUUAAAUUCUGUUUUUAUUUUUUAUUGUAAAAGAUAAAAAAUUAUAAAACAAAUCAAAAAAAAUAAACCGAGAUACAACUUUUAACAACGGAUAUCUUGGUUCUC
This 550-nucleotide unclassified non-coding RNA is filed under the name plant metagenome. Its description in RNAcentral is "partial contains small subunit ribosomal RNA, internal transcribed spacer 1, and 5.8S ribosomal RNA". The record is from RNAcentral.